Octodon degus (degu) is the source of this 161-nucleotide small nuclear RNA. Its record names the gene U1. It matches the Rfam family "U1 spliceosomal RNA". From Rfam's summary of the family: U1 is a small nuclear RNA (snRNA) component of the spliceosome (involved in pre-mRNA splicing). Its 5' end forms complementary base pairs with the 5' splice junction, thus defining the 5' donor site of an intron. Lineage: Eukaryota; Metazoa; Chordata; Mammalia; Rodentia; Octodontidae. The record is from Ensembl.
GUACUUACCUGGUAGGGAAAUCCCAGGAUCAUGAAGAUGGUGUUCCCUGGGUGAGGCAAAGUCACUGCACUCAACAUGUGGAUUCCUGUGAUUUGUACAAAUACAGAAAACUCGCGUGCAUAAUUUGUGGCAGUGGGAGACUAUGUUCGCGCUUUCCCCUA